This 73-nucleotide transfer RNA is filed under the name Malacochersus tornieri. RNAcentral describes it as "tRNA-Asn". Lineage: Eukaryota; Metazoa; Chordata; Testudines; Testudinidae. The record is from RNAcentral.
UAGGCAAAAGCCCGCUGGAUUGGGUGUUUAGCUGUUAACUAAGUUUUUAUGGGAUCAAGGCCCAUUUGUCUAG